This 73-nucleotide transfer RNA is filed under the name Alistipes sp. RNAcentral's name for it is "tRNA-Val". It matches the Rfam family "tRNA". Rfam says of the family: Transfer RNA (tRNA) molecules are approximately 80 nucleotides in length. Their secondary structure includes four short double-helical elements and three loops (D, anti-codon, and T loops). Further hydrogen bonds mediate the characteristic L-shaped molecular structure. tRNAs have two regions of fundamental functional importance: the anti-codon, which is responsible for specific mRNA codon recognition, and the 3' end, to which the tRNAs corresponding amino acid is attached (by aminoacyl-tRNA synthetases). tRNAs cope with the degeneracy of the genetic code in two manners: having more than one tRNA (with a specific anti-codon) for a particular amino acid; and 'wobble' base-pairing, i.e. permitting non-standard base-pairing at the 3rd anti-codon position. The record is from RNAcentral. Lineage: Bacteria; Pseudomonadati; Bacteroidota; Bacteroidia; Bacteroidales; Rikenellaceae.
GGAAGCUUAGCUCAGUUGGGAGAGCGUCUGCCUUACAAGCAGAGGGUCAGGGGUUCGAAUCCCUUUGCUCCCA